UUGAUCCGUAGGGGACUAGCCUAUCCCGGCGGGCCGGGGAGAGGGCCCUGUGUGCGCUAACGGAACCCGAGGCCCAGGAACCAGCUUAAGGAGCGCCGCCCAUCUGACUGUAAAAGUAGCCGAGGUAGGUCCCUGGAUUCACCACAGCAGAGUGAAGCCGGCAUCCGGGGACUGGGAGUGCAUUCCUGAUCCGUCCACGUUGUGUAAGCUGACCAUACGGAAGAAGCGAGCUGCCACGGCGGAGACUGCAAUGGGAGACGACAGCCCUGCUUUAGUCACUCCGGAAGCUGACUAAUCUACGCACAGCGAAAGCUUGAGGAAUCGCCGGUCCGAAGAAAUAAAUAGACCGUCCUUAUUUCUUACAUCUGCCUCUUACUGUAAUGCACUGUCACCCCUUGUCU
Hyaena hyaena (striped hyena) is the source of this 401-nucleotide long non-coding RNA. RefSeq lists it as uncharacterized. Lineage: Eukaryota; Metazoa; Chordata; Mammalia; Carnivora; Hyaenidae. The transcript is spliced from 2 exons. The record is from RefSeq and is a predicted model, not a curated record.